RNAcentral lists this ribosomal RNA (426 nucleotides) under uncultured Bdellovibrio sp. RNAcentral describes it as "bacterial SSU rRNA". It matches the Rfam family "Bacterial small subunit ribosomal RNA", at positions 354 to 771 of the family's 1533-position model. The record is from RNAcentral. Lineage: Bacteria; Pseudomonadati; Bdellovibrionota; Bdellovibrionia; Bdellovibrionales; Pseudobdellovibrionaceae.
GUAGGGAAUAUUGCUCAAUGGGGGAAACCCUGAAGCAGCAACGCCGCGUGAGUGAUGAAGGCCUUCGGGUCGUAAAGCUCUGUUGUACGGGGCGAAUGCCUUUGUGGCUAAUAUCCACAGAGAGUGACAGUACCGUAUAAGAAAGGACCGGCUAACUUCGUGCCAGCAGCCGCGGUAAGACGGGGGGUCCAAGCGUUGUUCGGAAUCAUUGGGCGUAAAGCGUGUGCAGGUGGUUUUGUAAGUUGGAUGUGAAAGCCCCGGGCUUAACUCGGGAAGUGCAUUCAAAACUGCAAAACUUGAGUAUGGAAGAGGGUCGUGGAAUUCCAGGUGUAGUGGUGAAAUACGUAGAUAUCUGGAGGAACACCGGUGGCGAAGGCGGCGACCUGGUCCUAUACUGACACUCAUACACGAAAGCGUGGGGAUCAA